AUUGAAAUCAGCACUGAAGUAUUUCCUGUUGAAAUUAUUGCUCUUUACUACUUUUCAAAUUGCAUCAAUUACUGAGUAAAACAAUUCUAAAAACUCAGGCUUUCCAUCAACUGUGUAAAUAGAAGCAAGCUUAUUGGAUGAUCUCUUUUCUUAACUUGAAGGUUGGGGGUUCAAUCCCGGGUCCUGCUGCCUUUAUGCCUUGGGCAAGACACUUAACCCCAAACUUCCCCCCACUGGCUGCUCCCAGUAAUGUGUGAAUAGGAUUAGUCAAAACUGAUGGAAGCUUUACAUAGCGACCCAUGCUAUCAGUGUGUGAAUGAUUGAAUGUGCCAAAUAAUGUAAAAGCCAUUUGAGUGGGCAUAGAAAUUGCAAUUUAACAGUCCAUUUACCAUUUACACUGCAAAUAAUAAAAAAAUAAACAAACCACAAACUUUACAAAGUUGUCUCAGUCCUGGUGAAAUCAUCUCAUCUGCAUGCUAUGUAAGGAAAUUCUUUGAAAUAAAGUUUUGUCAUGUUUUGGGGAACUAGUUAAGAACUUUUUGCUUGCUGCUUGUAUCCACUUUUACUCAUUCCAGCUGUGACCCAAGUUUCCAGGGACUAAAAUGCAAUGCUGACAAUUGAAUAAGCUCACCCUGGAAAGGUGCAGAGUCCAAACCACUUCAUGCAUAAAAGCUUUUGGUUUAUUACAACAGUAAGUUCUUCUGUUAUGUACUUUCUAAAAAAAGAACUUGCCUUGCACAGCCUUUUUUUUAAUUAAGGGUACCUGACUUUUGUUAUUUGAUAUUUGGUAUAAUUUUUUAGAUAAGAUAGAUGCCGUAUUAAUAAAAAAGAAAUACAUGUAGUGGUUGAAAAAAUAAAUCUUAAAUCAAAGUCUUUUAUCAUGUUGUGGUAACUGUUAAAACUGCAUCAGACCACUAAAAGACAUUGUGUAAAAUGUUAAAGGUUUAAGUAUUAUAUUAUUUUCUGUAACGUUAGGGAAGAAUGUGUAUGUGAAACCUGUGGGACAUGUCUUCAUUCUCUCAGCUCUAGCUGAAUAGGAGGAUUUAAAGGCUGAUGUCUCAAUAAAAGAGGGACCUACCUCCUGUGUGACAGCCAGGUGGGAUUUCUUUCACUCAGACUUGACUGAGUGGCAGACCGGAUCAGUUUUUGAGCAGCAGGGGGAGAGGAGGAGGCACUAAACCAAGUGAGUGAGUGUUGACCUUCUGUCCUGUAGCUGAGGCCCGAUAAUCUCACAUCAAAGUCUGAGCAGUGCACAGCCUUGACUGCAAAAGGGCCCUCACUCCCUGACUCUGUAUGAAAAGAGAUGUUUUCAGUCAGACUGGCGUCUUUCUUUCCAGUAGGAGUGGAUAGUUGAGAUGGACACGGGAAAAGAUCAGUGUGGCAACCCGUGGCGCCAGAGAUUACAAUAUAUUCAUCUUAAUACAAGAAGUUUUCCUUAUAUGAUGCAGAAAAAGUAUUUUGUAUUACUCUCCUAAAAUUAUAAACAACUUAAAAUCAGAAUAUUAACAUGUAAAUGCAUUUGUCUUAAAAACCCCUUAUGUUGUCACCACAGUAACUUUGACUUUUAAAUCUAAACAUAUCUUACUUUUGUCCCUACAAAUGUGCCAAAAAUGUUUGUUUCUGCUAAUCUGCACAAUAGUUGAA
Xyrichtys novacula (pearly razorfish) is the source of this 1644-nucleotide non-coding RNA. NCBI's taxonomy places the organism in Eukaryota, Metazoa, Chordata, Actinopteri, Labriformes, Labridae. The record is from the annotation of a GenBank genome assembly.